UCGGGGUGCAGCAGGCGCGAAAACUUUACAAUGCUGGCAACAGCGAUAAGGGGACCUCGAGUGCCAGGAUACAAUCUUGACUGUCGUGAUGCCUAAAAAGCAUUACAUAGCAAGGGCCGGGCAAGACCGGUGCCAGCCGCCGCGGUAACACCGGCGGCUCGAGUGGUAACCGCUAUUAUUGGGUCUAAAGGGUCUGUAGCCGGCCGGAUAAGUCUCUUGGGAAAUCCGACAGCUCAACUGUCGGGCUUUCAGGGGAUACUGUUCGGCUCGAGGCCGGGAGAGGUGAGAGGUACUUCAGGGGUAGGGGUGAAAUCUUGUAAUCCUUGAAGGACCACCAGUGGCGAAGGCGUCUCACCAGAACGGUCCUGACGGCAAGGGACGAAAGCUAGGGGCACGAACCGGAUUAGAUACCCGGGUAGUCCUAGCCGUAAACGAUACUCGCUAGGUGUCGGCCACGGUGCGACCGUGGUCGGUGCCGUAGGGAAGCCGUGAAGCGAGCCACCUGGGAAGUACGGCCGCAAGGCUGAAACUUAAAGGAAUUGGCGGGGGAGCAC
This 554-nucleotide ribosomal RNA is filed under the name uncultured archaeon. RNAcentral describes it as "bacterial SSU rRNA". It matches the Rfam family "Archaeal small subunit ribosomal RNA", at positions 325 to 879 of the family's 1478-position model. The record is from RNAcentral.